UACGGAGGGUCCAAGCGUUAUCCGGAUUUAUUGGGUUUAAAGGUGCGUUAGGCGGCACAGUAAGUUAGAGGCGAAAUCUCGCGGCUCAACCGCGAAACUGCCUCUGAUACUGCUGAGCUAGAGAUUAGAUGCUGUGGGCGGAAUGUGUAGUGUAGCGGUGAAAUGCUUAGAGAUUACACAGAACACCGAUUGCGAAGGCAGCUCACAAAUCUACUUCUGACGUUGAGGCACGAAAGCGUGGGUAGCAAACAGGA
RNAcentral lists this ribosomal RNA (254 nucleotides) under uncultured prokaryote. RNAcentral's name for it is "partial 16S ribosomal RNA". It matches the Rfam family "Bacterial small subunit ribosomal RNA", at positions 524 to 777 of the family's 1533-position model. The record is from RNAcentral.